GUUAAAGUUUAGGCGGCACAUGUCCGCUUCACAUUCAAAUCAAACUUGGAGUUUGUGAUCCGGCUCGGGACCACAGGGGCCCUCUGCCGACAAAAGUGCACGGUGGGUUUGCAAAGGUUGAGCGGCUCGGGCUCGCCCGCUGCACGUCCUUUCGGACGGAGCUGGGCGCACCCUCGCCGUCAGAGAUACGUUAAUGAUCCUUCCGCAGGUUCACCUACGGAAA
RNAcentral lists this unclassified non-coding RNA (223 nucleotides) under uncultured fungus. Its description in RNAcentral is "sequence contains ITS1". The record is from RNAcentral. Lineage: Eukaryota; Fungi.